Lates calcarifer (barramundi perch) is the source of this 2426-nucleotide long non-coding RNA. RefSeq lists it as uncharacterized. Lineage: Eukaryota; Metazoa; Chordata; Actinopteri; Centropomidae. The record is from RefSeq and is a predicted model, not a curated record. The transcript has 2 exons.
UUUUGCUGCCAUCAAAUUAAUCAAGUAUAUAAGAUAAAUUCAUUGUUAUACAAAGCAAAAUUACAAUUAAUAUACAAAAUUCCACCACACCUGUAAUAGUAUAGGCCACUGGUGUUACUGCCUCCAUAAAGAAAACAAAUAAACAAAGGCUGUAGCAUACGAAAUAGGAUACCAAACAAAAUUCAAUGAUCAAACCCCAAACUUUAUCGAUCAAAAAAACCCAAACUGCAAAGUUUAACCAAAAGGAAACAAAAGGGGCUGGAGAUCCUAACCAAAAGGAGCAAAAGAUGUGCCGUCACUCCCAGCGUCUCCCCUUCACCUAUAAAAAGAGGAAAAGAAACUAACCUUAAUCAAACAAAAAGACGUAUAACUGAGCUACUAGAGGUCUCCAGCCCAAAUAACAAACUAACAAAUUAAAACAACAAAAACCCAGCUGGGGCAAAACCUGCUUGGGGAAAAACAGGAAAAAAAGAGUUAGGAGGAGAAGACCUCCCCUCUACCUGUGUGUGUUGCCCGGUAUAUGUCCUUCCUCCCUUCUCCACGUAGCCUUCUCCUAUAUAUCCUCUCCUCCUCUCUGAAUAACACUUGCACUCGGGUGCUUCAGAAGAGACAGGAAGCAGGGGCAAAAGAGAAGGUUAGAGGGGGAGAGAAAAAGAGAGAGAACAGGGGCAACCUGAUGGUUAGGGUGUGUGCCUGAGCAGUGAAGACUCCCGUUCAACUCCUGGACCUUUGCUGCAUGUCACUCCCCUACUCUCUCUCUCCAUUUCCAGUCUUUCUUGUUGAAGAAAACUUUCAAGUCCUUAAUUCAAAGUUUGAUGUAUUGGUGAUUAUUUAUUCAUAUUCCAGCAUACAGUGAGUCUGCUGACAUAGAGAGGGUCUAAACAGCAAACUGACCCAGAGUGGAGGUCAGGGGGACACACAGGGCAGUGACCAAACAGUAUGUAAAUGUGAGGUGAACAAUGGUACAGGAUAGGAUCACAGAAGUUAUGGGUAUUUGAAUUCACAGAUCUUACAGUGACACAGACAAGACCUUUUGGUGAUUCAGCAGGGGCCAGGGAGACUCUAACUGGAAAAUCUGGGUUAGCCUUUUUCAUUCCUGAUUUGAAAAUUAUAAAAUACCAAUGCCUGGUGAGUUGGAUAGUGAUUCUCAGUGGGUUCAGCACCGUGAGAGACCCUUAAUUAGGGCCAUUUGACUCAAUAUUAAUUCUCAGUGCAGGUAUAAGCUGAGCUGUUGCUCUGCACAUUUGCAGAAUGCUGAAUGAAUUUUAAAAACAAGUUUGCUACAUUGACGUCUUAUAUGCUUAUUUGUUGUAUUUCAGACAAAUAUGACAAACGACGUGGGUCUUUGGACUCCAGGUGAAUUCUUGAGCACAGUGCACACUCUGAUCAGUCUGUUGUGAAGUCAUACAGGCAUUUAAGUGAAAGUAACAGAGGCAGCAGAAUGGACUUCACUCUUUAAACAACAGGCUGCCUCAGACAGUGGCCUGUUGUGACUUGCAGUGACACACUGACAGGAAUGCAGCAAAGCAAAAUCACCAAACUGUCCAGUGUUGUAUAACUGUCACAACUGAGCUAGGAACCCAAGACACAGAACACAGACUGCAGGACAAACAGGUUGUGCUACUGGAGGUGCUAGUCCCAAUGGGAAAGUAGAGUGGCAGGCAGACUGGAGGGAAUGGCAGGUGGGCUGGCAGGCAGGAACAGAACAGAGAAAACAGGAGUGACGAUCCGGCGGGGACUGAAGGCAGGAGCAAGUGCACCCUGAGUGAGCUGAUGGGAAACAGAUGAGCUUGAUUGCAGAGGCACGGCAGGUGUGGAGUGGCAAGCAGGCAGACCCAGCAGGAGAGACAGAGAGCAAGGGGGAGGGGCAGGCAACACAGAGACAGACAAACACACAGACAGACACUUCAUGACAGACUUCAGACAUUUCAUGGCAAACCUGUGUAUUGUGAUGAAUAUUGUGAUGAGGAAGAAUUCUUCUCUCUUCUCUGGAAAUUAAGCAUUACAGUGUUAGGUAGUCUUGACAGUCACAUUGUUGUACUGUACUGUAUGUAUCCAAGAGAAUCUACUGGCCAACCCUGGGUACAACAGCUUAGUAAAUGUUCUGUUUGCCAGGAUGUCUUCAUUCUACUGAAUCUUCAUAUCCAAACUGAUGUUAUCAGAGAAUCCACAUACUGUAUGACUUUAACUGUGUAACAAUAUGCCAUUGGACUGUUCAAAAUUCAAUCCGUAAUCGUGAAGCCUUUUGUGAUUGGGGAUGUGCCACCUAAUGGCUUAUGUAGUACAUUUGAAUCAGUUCUGAUGGGGUUAUGGUGUUGGUAAAGAAGCUCUGUUUUGGAGUCUGUAUGGUCAGCUGAACCACAGUUGAUGAUCAUAGUUCUGUAUGUUACUCAAGUAAUUGUGGACAAUACAGUUUUUUGAUUUUG